GACGAACGCUGGCGGCGUGCUUAACACAUGCAAGUCGAACGGAAAGGCCCUGCUUUUGUGGGGUGCUCGAGUGGCGAACGGGUGAGUAACACGUGAGUAACCUGCCCUUGACUUUGGGAUAACUUCAGGAAACUGGGGCUAAUACCGGAUAGGAGCUCCUGCUGCAUGGUGGGGGUUGGAAAGUUUCGGCGGUUGGGGAUGGACUCGCGGCUUAUCAGCUUGUUGGUGGGGUAGUGGCUUACCAAGGGUUUGACGGGUAGCCGGCCUGAGAGGCUGACCGGCCACAUUGGGACUGAGAUACGGCCCAGACUCCUACGGGAGGCAGCAGUGGGGAAUAUUGCACAAUGGGCGGAAGCCUGAUGCAGCAACGCCGCGUGCGGGAUGACGGCCUUCGGGUUGUAAACCGCUUUCGCCUGUGACGAAGCGUGAGUGACGGUAAUGGGUAAAGAAGCACCGGCUAACUACGUG
This 468-nucleotide ribosomal RNA is filed under the name uncultured bacterium. RNAcentral describes it as "partial 16S ribosomal RNA". It matches the Rfam family "Bacterial small subunit ribosomal RNA", at positions 28 to 507 of the family's 1533-position model. The record is from RNAcentral.